GCCAACCAGCGCCUGUCUCUGAACAGCCAAUGAACACGCGUCUUACAGCCAAGGCCAGGUCCGGAGCGAGGCUGCGGCGAGUGCGGCGCUGACAGAGACGCGCGCGCGCGCGAUCGCGCUGGGACCCCGGCCGCUGCCGCCAUCACCGCCGCCCGCCCAGUCUCCCCUCAGCCGCUUCCCCUCGCCAUGGAGGCGAGGCCGCCGCCGCCGCCGCGGGGCUCGGAGCCGCGGGCCGGGCGGCGGCCCUGAGGGCGAGUGGCGGCCCGAAACGCCGCCGCGGAGCCGAGGCGGAGCCGCUCUCCUCGUCCCCAGCGGUCCCGCCCAACGCCAGACUCUGUGACACAACCAAAAAAAAAGAUAUUUCUGGAAUUCCAGUGAGUGGUAAUGGAUGAUGCAGUUCAAAUAACUAAGGACACAUGUUCAAAGAGCAUAAUUAACUUUUUAAAAGAAGCUAAUGCUUAUUUGCCGUACUGUAUAUCUUCUUCGAUAAGCAUGGAUUCCUGGUUCACUCUUGUUCUGCUCGGCAGUGGUCUGAUAUGUGUCAGUGCCAACAAUGCUACCACAGUUGCACCUUCUGUAGGAAUUACAAGAUUAAUUAACUCAUCAACGGCAGAACCAGUUAAAGAAGAGGCCAAAACUUCAAAUCCAACUUCUUCACUAACUUCUCUUUCUGUGGCACCAACAUUCAGCCCAAAUAUAACUCUGGGACCCACCUAUUUAACCACUGUCAAUUCUUCAGACUCUGACAAUGGGACCACAAGAACAGCAAGCACCGAUUCUAUAGGCACUACAAUUUUACCAAAUGAAACGUGGCUUCCAGAUAACCAGUUCACGGAUGCCAGAACAGAACCCUGGGAGGGGAAUUCCAGCACUGCAGCAACCACUCCAGAAGCUUUCCCUCCUUCAGGUAAUUCUGACUCGAAGGACAGAAGAGAUGAGACACCAAUUAUUGCGGUGAUGGUGGCCCUGUCCUCUCUGCUAGUGAUCGUGUUUAUUAUCAUAGUUUUGUACAUGUUAAGGUUUAAGAAAUACAAGCAAGCUGGGAGCCAUUCCAAUUCUUUCCGCUUAUCCAACGGCCGCACUGAGGAUGUGGAGCCCCAGAGUGUGCCACUUCUGGCCAGAUCCCCAAGCACCAACAGGAAGUACCCACCCCUGCCCGUGGACAAGCUGGAAGAGGAAAUUAACCGGAGAAUGGCAGACGACAAUAAGCUCUUCAGGGAGGAAUUCAACGCUCUCCCUGCAUGUCCUAUCCAGGCCACCUGUGAGGCUGCUUCCAAGGAGGAAAACAAGGAAAAAAAUCGAUAUGUAAACAUCUUGCCUUAUGACCACUCUAGAGUCCACCUGACACCAGUCGAAGGGGUUCCAGAUUCUGAUUACAUCAAUGCUUCAUUCAUCAACGGCUACCAAGAAAAGAACAAAUUCAUUGCUGCACAAGGACCAAAAGAAGAAACGGUGAAUGAUUUCUGGAGGAUGAUCUGGGAACAAAACACAGCCACCAUCGUCAUGGUUACCAACCUGAAGGAGAGAAAGGAGUGCAAGUGCGCCCAGUACUGGCCAGACCAAGGCUGCUGGACCUAUGGGAAUAUUCGGGUGUCUGUAGAGGAUGUGACUGUCCUGGUAGACUACACAGUACGGAAGUUCUGCAUCCAGCAGGUGGGCGACAUGACCAACAGAAAGCCACAGCGCCUCAUCACUCAGUUCCACUUUACCAGCUGGCCAGACUUUGGGGUGCCUUUUACCCCGAUCGGCAUGCUCAAGUUCCUCAAGAAGGUGAAGGCCUGUAACCCUCAGUAUGCAGGGGCCAUCGUGGUCCACUGCAGUGCAGGUGUAGGGCGUACAGGUACCUUUGUCGUCAUUGAUGCCAUGCUGGACAUGAUGCAUACAGAACGGAAGGUGGACGUGUAUGGCUUUGUGAGCCGGAUCCGGGCACAGCGCUGCCAGAUGGUGCAAACGGAUAUGCAGUAUGUCUUCAUAUACCAAGCCCUUCUGGAGCAUUAUCUCUAUGGAGAUACAGAACUGGAAGUGACCUCUCUAGAAACCCACCUGCAGAAAAUUUACAACAAAAUUCCAGGAACCAGCAACAAUGGAUUAGAGGAGGAGUUUAAGAAGUUAACAUCAAUCAAAAUCCAGAAUGACAAGAUGCGGACUGGAAACCUUCCAGCCAACAUGAAGAAGAACCGUGUUUUACAGAUCAUUCCAUAUGAAUUCAACAGAGUGAUCAUUCCAGUUAAGCGGGGCGAAGAGAAUACAGACUAUGUGAAUGCAUCCUUUAUUGAUGGCUACCGGCAGAAGGACUCCUAUAUCGCCAGCCAGGGCCCUCUUCUCCACACAAUUGAGGACUUCUGGCGAAUGAUCUGGGAGUGGAAAUCCUGCUCUAUCGUGAUGCUAACAGAACUGGAGGAGAGAGGCCAGGAGAAGUGUGCCCAGUACUGGCCAUCCGAUGGACUGGUGUCCUAUGGAGAUAUUACAGUGGAACUGAAGAAGGAGGAGGAAUGUGAGAGCUACACCGUCCGAGACCUCCUGGUCACCAACACCAGGGUAAGAUGGGUGGUGGGUGGACUCUGCCCCCAGGAAAAGCAGGGUUACCCCUGCCUGCCUGAUCCCCUUUCUUCCAAAGGAGAAUAAGAGCCGGCAGAUCCGGCAGUUCCACUUCCAUGGCUGGCCUGAAGUGGGCAUCCCCAGUGACGGAAAGGGCAUGAUCAGCAUCAUCGCCGCCGUGCAGAAGCAGCAGCAGCAGUCAGGGAACCACCCCAUCACCGUGCACUGCAGCGCUGGUGCAGGAAGGACGGGGACCUUCUGUGCCCUGAGCACCGUCCUGGAGCGUGUGAAAGCAGAGGGGAUUUUGGAUGUCUUCCAGACUGUCAAGAGCCUACGGCUACAGAGGCCACACAUGGUCCAGACACUGGAACAGUAUGAGUUCUGCUACAAGGUGGUGCAGGAAUAUAUUGAUGCAUUCUCAGAUUAUGCCAACUUCAAGUAAGCGGCAACAAGCGUCCGUGGACCAGGAGGAUUGCCUUUAAUAUUUUGUAAUAUUCUGUUUUGUUAAUAUACCCCAAAUUGUGUAUAUAUCUUAUAACUGUUUUAGAAAUUGGUACAUAGGCUUCUAUUACCUAUUAGGUGGAAAUUUUAUAUGUAAAUGUGUUAGCACUGAUAGUCCUUUUUCCAAUGUUUUAUUGGGGAAUUAAAUAGUGUGAUGUUUGGACUGAUAUCGUGAAAUCCUCAGCCAGGAAAUUGGGCUGGAUUGUGCUUUGGUUAAUAUAUCUUUCCCUAAAGAAGAUAAACAUAAAAUCCAUUCCAGGUAGCUCGGCACCAACUAAGAAAAAAAGCACAAAGUACUCAGAGCUCUAGAGGAAAGUGGUUGUCCCCAUACCAUCAUGCACUGUAAAUAUCCCUCCCCUCUGUCCCUGGUCCCCUCCCCCAUCCCCACCACCUAUAUCAUGGGAGUAAUAGGACCAGAGCGGUAUCUCUGGCACCACACUAGGGACUAUCAGGUAAUAAAAGCUUUGACUCCCUGA
Molecule: non-coding RNA, 3515 nt
Organism: Macaca mulatta (Rhesus monkey)
Lineage: Eukaryota; Metazoa; Chordata; Mammalia; Primates; Cercopithecidae
Source: RefSeq, a predicted model, not a curated record